RNAcentral lists this ribosomal RNA (1346 nucleotides) under uncultured bacterium. RNAcentral describes it as "bacterial SSU rRNA". It matches the Rfam family "Bacterial small subunit ribosomal RNA", at positions 28 to 1381 of the family's 1533-position model. The record is from RNAcentral.
GACGAACGCUGGCGGCGUGCUUAACACAUGCAAGUCGAACGGAAAGGCCCUGCUUUUGUGGGGUGCUCGAGUGGCGAACGGGUGAGUAACACGUGAGUAACCUGCACUUGACUUUGGGAUAACUUCAGGAAACUGGGGCUAAUACCGGAUAGGAGCUCCUGCUGCAUGGUGGGGGUUGGAAAGUUUCGGCGGUUGGGGAUGGACUCGCGGCUUAUCAGCUUGUUGGUGGGGUAGUGGCUUACCAAGGCUUUGACGGGUAGCCGGCCUGAGAGGGUGGCCGGCCACAUUGGGACUGAGAUACGGCCCAGACUCCUACGGGAGGCAGCAGUGGGGAAUAUUGCACAAUGGGCGGAAGCCUGAUGCAGCAACGCCGCGUGCGGGAUGACGGCCUUCGGGUUGUAAACCGCUUUCGCCUGUGACGAAGCGUGAGUGACGGUAAUGGGUAAAGAAGCACCGGCUAACUACGUGCCAGCAGCCGCGGUGAUACGUAGGGUGCGAGCGUUGUCCGGAUUUAUUGGGCGUAAAGGGCUCGUAGGUGGUUGAUCGCGUCGGAAGUGUAAUCUUGGGGCUUAACCCUGAGCGUGCUUUCGAUACGGGUUGACUUGAGGAAGGUAGGGGAGAAUGGAAUUCCUGGUGGAGCGGUGGAAUGCGCAGAUAUCAGGAGGAACACCAGUGGCGAAGGCGGUUCUCUGGGCCUUUCCUGACGCUGAGGAGCGAAAGCGUGGGGAGCGAACAGGCUUAGAUACCCUGGUAGUCCACGCUGUAAACGGUGGGUACUAGGUGUGGGGUCCAUUCCACGGGUUCCGUGCCGUAGCUAACGCUUUAAGUACCCCGCCUGGGGAGUACGGCCGCAAGGCUAAAACUCAAAGGAAUUGACGGGGCCCCGCACAAGCGGCGGAGCAUGCGGAUUAAUUCGAUGCAACGCGUAGAACCUUACCUGGGUUUGACAUGGAUCGGGAGCGCUCAGAGAUGGGUGUGCCUCUUUUGGGGUCGGUUCACAGGUGGUGCAUGGCUGUCGUCAGCUCGUGUCGUGAGAUGUUGGGUUAAGUCCCGCAACGAGCGCAACCCUUGUUCACUGUUGCCAGCACGUUAUGGUGGGGACUCAGUGGAGACCGCCGGGGUCAACUCGGAGGAAGGUGGGGAUGACGUCAAGUCAUCAUGCCCCUUAUGUCCAGGGCUUCACGCAUGCUACAAUGGCUGGUACAGAGAGUGGCGAGCCUGUGAGGGUGAGCGAAUCUCGGAAAGCCGGUCUCAGUUCGGAUUGGGGUCUGUAACUCGACCUCAUGAAGUCGGAGUCGCUAGUAAUCGCAGAUCAGCAACGCUGCGGUGAAUACGUUCCCGGGGCU